ACAUCCCUAUCAAUGAAUCUACCCCAGUGAGUGCCUUAGCUCACCUCCUUAGCCUGGUAGCCUGAGAAUCCAUUCCCACAAAUGUUCAAAGAGGAUUAAUCUGUUAGAUACCAGUUACAUCUGGGAAUUUUUAUUGACACGUGAACUAUUUUCUCAUGGUUCAGACUUAGCCGUGGGGCAUACUGUGACUGCACCCUACAUAUGGGCUGAAUGGCAAGCGGGAUGUGGCACAGGAUCUCAAGGACAACAUGAAUUGCAUUACAAGGGACCAAGCCCACACGAGAUAAUGACAAAUUCUUCUAGCGAUGGGACACCAGUCCCUUAGACACGGGGCAGCUACUUGAACCACUAUGGGGGGGCUCAGAGGGGCUGAUGGCGUCCCGACUCUCAGCUUCGACUGAGGCCGAGCAGACGUCCCAGUUCCAGGUUUCCGGGCCACACUCCUCCAACCACGGCCAUACCUUUCACACGAGAAACACAGAGAGGCUGGGAAUUCAGUGGACUUUGGGAUUCUGUAACCCGCACUGAUAAACUUGUGUUUAAUUUUCACCACGAGGAACCCUUGCAGUCUUCAGAGCCGUCCUUACCGCCGUGACAGUACAGCAGCCACGCCGGCUCCUCAGGGCUUCCCGCGGGUGGCCCUUCAUCCCGGUUCACUGCGGGUGACAGCCUGAUGAAGGAAGAGGUCCCCGCAGACCACGGGUGCUACGUACGCGCCCAGUUCCCAUUGGCAGGGAGCCCGAGCCCUGCCCUGGGGCCCAAGGGCGCGACCACACCCAUCCCCACAUCCCCACUUGGCGGGCCCCUCUUCUGAGACCACUCCCAGGUCCGACUCUGUAGCAGUCGGGCAGGAGGAGGAGACGAGAAAUAGACACGGUUUCUCAGCAGAUGAAAUCGAAUACGAGCAUUUGGUGGCUCAGGGCCCGGAGGGCUGAAGAAACAGAUCGUAUGGCAGAAAGCUGCCGUCCCGAAGGCGGGGGGAAGCGGGGAAGAGGUCGGGCUGAGCAGACACCUAGACGCCAGGAUGAGGGGCCUGGAAGAGGCAGAGCCUGGAUCGCUGAGGAGGGGCUGCCACAAUUUCUCAGGGAAGGCGGAAGCAUCCUUAUCCACCACGAGGGGAUAUGGGGCAGGAGAUGAUUUCUGAGGACCAUCUUCCAGGCCAUUGAAGACUUGGGGAGGUGGAGUAGCUGUCUAUCACAAUAACGCAAACAACGCGUAGAUAUCCACGAGCGCCGCUCUCUGAUCUCCUGAGAAAUCAAAGGUAAUGCCAGUCUGGGUUUUGAAGUCCCCCCGCCCCGCCCCACCCCAGUUAAGCACAAGAGGGGAAGGCGGCUCUCUUUCUCACCCUGCCCCCUUUGCCGUGUGCUGGCCCGAGGAGGCUUCCGUGGGGGAUGGCCACCUGGGCUCACCUCUCAAGCCUCCAGGACGUGCUGAGUGUGCCACACGUUCCCCGGGGACCUCCAAGUGAGGGAGCGAGCCGCGCCGUAGAGCACAGCCCCACAGAAGGGGAUCUGGCUUGAGCCCGACGUCCUUGAUCCACACCCCGCCUGGGCCACUUGCCAGCUAGUGGUGCCGAAGAAGCCGUGAAUGGGGAUCACGCCUCGAACGGGCUGCUAGGGCUGCGGGAUGGGAGGAGCCGAGGCACACGGCAAGCUCGCAAUGCCAUGACCGCAAACGAUGUCCUCUGGCCUCUGAGAGUUGCACCCUGGGAAGGUCCACAGGGCCAGUCCUGUCUUCGACAGGCCUGCCGAUUCUCCACCAAGGUGGGCCGUGUCUUCAAGUCGAGGUUGCUGACGCGUGUCCCGCUGGGCCUCGGGGGGUCCUGGGCCGGAAGCCUGGGGUGAGCUACCCUUCCAGGGAGGGUGGAUGUGCUCGGCCGGCCCGGAGCCCAGCAGUACCACGACGAUGCAGGGGGAGCAGUUCCUCUCUCAGCCUGCAGCUAGGGGUGGGGGGAAGGCAGCCCCUCCCUGUUCGCGGCUGCUAGGACUGGAGUGGGGGGGGGGCGUUCGUCCCCGCUCCCUCAGACCCACUUCUCCUUAUAGCACCAUCCUGCCUUUGUCCCGCGGGGUCACCCUUCACCAACACGGGUUUUAGGUGGGGUCUCGGUUCUGCCCUCUGACCUUCUGAAAGCCCUUUGCUCCUGGCACCUGGGAACCCCACCCCAGGAGCUCCUCCC
This is a long non-coding RNA of Leopardus geoffroyi (Geoffroy's cat), 2176 nucleotides long. RefSeq lists it as uncharacterized. The record is from RefSeq and is a predicted model, not a curated record. NCBI's taxonomy places the organism in Eukaryota, Metazoa, Chordata, Mammalia, Carnivora, Felidae. The transcript is spliced from 3 exons.